This 194-nucleotide ribosomal RNA is filed under the name uncultured bacterium. RNAcentral's name for it is "partial 16S ribosomal RNA". It matches the Rfam family "Bacterial small subunit ribosomal RNA", at positions 338 to 524 of the family's 1533-position model. The record is from RNAcentral.
CCUACGGAAGGCAGCAGUGAGGAAUAUUGGACAAUGGGCGAAAGCCUGAUCCAGCCAUGCCGCGUGUGUGAAGAAGGUCUUCGGAUUGUAAAGCACUUUAAGUUGGGAGGAAGGGCAGUAAAUUAAUACUUUGCUGUUUUGACGUUACCGACAGAAUAAGCACCGGCUAACUCUGUGCCAGCAGCCGCGGUAAU